This is a non-coding RNA of Benincasa hispida (wax gourd), 3267 nucleotides long. The record is from RefSeq and is a predicted model, not a curated record. Lineage: Eukaryota; Viridiplantae; Streptophyta; Magnoliopsida; Cucurbitales; Cucurbitaceae.
UAAAACCCUAAGAGCCUUUAAGGUAGCAUCCUUAUCAGUUAUCCUUAUCCCAUCCUGGCCCUCAACUUAGACGGUGGCACUCAUCGUCCUCAUGCUCACGCUCACGCUCACCCUCACCCUCACGCGGCAGUGGCACUCCUCGUCCUCAACUCCCUCACUGCCAGCCAAGUUCUUCGACUCACCGUCCAUCGAGACCAGUCAGUCAUUGCGAGGCCGUCACUCUCAUCGUCACAGUAGACUGAGACCAGUCAGUCACCCCUCGUCGGUGACUUCUCAUUGUCACAGCAGCAGCACAACUUCUCAUCGUCACGGCAGAUGACACCUCGUCGUUGUCGCCCAUCCCAACCACCAAACUCCGGUCACGGCCUCAACCUAUUACUCACAGUCGACGACUUCUCAUCUGACCCUCACAGUCACCCCGUCGUCGCUCAUCCCAACCACCAAACUCCAAUCUGCCUCACUUCGUGGUCGUGUCCCUCCAUCAGAUCGUUUUAAGGUAUAUCCGACGUCUGAAUAUCCACUUUCUAAUCUGAUUUGUGAAUCUGUGAUUUGUAUAGAAGAUAAAACUAGUUGUUCGAUUUGUGAAUCUGAUCUGUGAUUUCUGGUCUAAUUUGUGAAUAUGUAAUUUAUGAUUGUGAAUCUGUGAUCUUUGUAUGUCUGAAAUUGACUAGUUGUUCGAUUUUGUGAUUGUUUUGUUACUAUUUGACUAUUUGUAGGUGAAAUUUAAAAAUGACUCUAUCGAAUAAUAAUGAGUUAGAACAAAGUGGUUCAACUCCAACAUCCAUGAACAUGAGCGAAUCAACCCCAAUAAACAGUGUUUCUAGUGGUAAUGAUCAAUCUAUGCCUAUUACAUUAGAUACCGAUGAUAAUGAGGAUGUACUAAAAAGUAAUAGGUUGACGUCAGUAGUAUGACACAAUGAAAGCAAUAUAUAAUUAUUGUAGAAAAAAGUUAGGAGGGAGACAAAAAAUAAAUGACACAAUGAAAGCAAUAUAUAAUUAUUGUAGAAAAAAGUUAGGAGGGGAAUAUAAAAAUGGGACAAAACAUUUACAUGACCAUUUCAAAAUUUGUCCCUUAAGGAGACAAAGAGACAUUAGACAAUCAUGUUUGAGAUCCAUUAAAACCAAUGAAGGAAAAGUAGUCUUAAAUCCGACCCUCUUUGAUUAUGAAGCUUCUAGGAGAGAUCUUGCUUGUGCUAUAAUCUUACAUGAAUAUCCAAUGAACAUAGUUGAACACAAAGGAUUUAGAAAGUUUUUUAGUGGUGUUCAACAGUUGUUUAAGAUGAUUUCAAGAACCACGAUGAGGAAAGAUAUAGUCUUGCUACACUACACGACACGAGUGACGGGUGAAGUUGAAGCAGACAUGUAAAAUUUAUGAAGAAGAGAGAAUUAAAACAAUGAAAUUUUUGGAAAACAAUAGAAGUAGGGUUGCUCUUACUACAAACAGGUGGACUGCUUCUAGUCAGAAGAAGGGAUACAUGGCAAUCACUGCACAUUUUAUUGAUGAUUCUUGGGUCCUGCAAAGCAGACUUUUAAGGUAAUUUAAAUCUUUUAUAUUGUUAUGUAUUUUUUGUUCAUUUGGUAGUUUUCAUUUUAACAUAUUAUUACGUAAUACUACUAUACUAGGUUUGUACAUGUGCCACAUCCACAUACUGGACAGUUACUUUCUGAAGCAUUAAUGGAGUGUAUUUUUUAUUGGAAUAUAGAUUGUAAAUUAUCCACUUUAACAGUAGAUAAUUGUUCAACAAAUGAUGCGAUGGUUGACAUUUUAUUAAGAAAGUUAGAUUUAAAGACACUGUGGUUGCAUGGAAAUUUGUUCCACAUUCGUUGUUGUGCACAUAUUUUGUUGAUAGUGAAAGAUGAUUUGGCUGUAAUUUCGGAUGGUAUAGAGAAGAUUAGAGGUACAGUUCAUUUCUGGACUCUUUCUCCAAAAAGGAAGAAAAAAUUUGAAGAAGGAGUUCGUCAAUUACAAAUUCCAUGCACUAAAAAACUAAGUCUUGAUUGUGUUACAAGAUGGAAUUCAAUCUUUGUGAUGCUCAAAACUACUUUGGAAUACAAAGAUGUUUUUCUUCGUCUAAGACAAUGUGAACCACUAUACACUUGUCUUCCUUCAUAUACUGAUUAGAAUUUUGCAAAAGAAAUGUGUGAUAGAUUAGAACCAUUUUACUUGAUGACUGAGUUGUUUUCUGUGUCAAGUUAUCCAACCUCCAAUGUCUUUUUUAGAUAAGUUUGUGAAAUUAGGUUGCAACUUCCUAAGUGGCUUAACUCCGAUGUUGAGGAGGUACAAGUAAUGGCAUCAAAAAUGAUUGCUAAGUUUGAAAAAUAUUGGAGUGUGAUUCAUGGUGUAUUGGCAAUAGCUACAGUAUUAGAUCCUUGAUUUAAGAUGAGAUUGAUUCGGUUUUAUUUUUCUCAAAUCUAUGGAUCUCAUCAUACUGUUGAAAUUAAACGCGUUAGAGACUUGUGUUGUGAUUUGAUGAAGUUUUAUAGUUCAAAUUCAAGAAAAAUAGAAGAACCUCAACGUUCUACAUCUACAAUUAGUACUUCUUCGACUUCAAGGCGAGAUGGAAGUAGUAGUUCAACUGCUCUUGUUAAUAGAAAAGAUCAAUAUCUCAAGUUUGAAGAGUUUGUUAAUAAUGUUGAAAAUGAUGUUGAUAAUGUCAAAUCAGAGUUGGAUCAUUAUUUGGAUGAGUCUCUUCUACUGCGGUCGGAUCACUUUAACAUUUUGCAAUGGUAGAAGUUGAAUGGAGUGAAUAUUGGUGGGAGACACGUAGGUCCACAUCGUUUUCAAAUUCAUGAAAAUUUAUUGGAAGCUUUGAUGUGUACUCAAGAUUGGUUAUGGAUGGAAGGUAUGAAUUGUUUAAUUUAUUUAAUAAGCUUUUAUUAUUUACAAUUUGAGAUCUAAUUUUCCUUUUACAUGUCAUAAAUAGAUAAGUAUACUCCUAUAGAUGCUAAAGUUUUGGAAAAUGUUCUUGAGGAUCGAGAUCCAGAUGAUGUAAGUUAUAAGUUCGUGUAUUAUUAUUAUUAUUAAUUUAAUAUAUUAAUAUGUACAAUAUUUGUGGUUUUUUUUUAGGAAUCAACCCUUGCAAAGUUGGAUGAAAUUCGUUGAUGAUGGCUUGGUUUGACAAUGUUAUUGUCAUGUUGUUUGUUGUGUCUUGAACAAAUAUGUUUGUUGUCAUAUUGUAACUUUUUUUAAAAUAGUUGAUGAAUUAUGAAUGGAUAUUAUUUAAGUUUAAGUUGAAUUUUAAUGAGAUGGAUGUUUUUAUUAUUUAA